GGUUAAGCGACUAAGCGUACACGGUGGAUGCCCUGGCAGUCAGAGGCGAUGAAGGACGUGCUAAUCUGCGAAAAGCGUCGGUAAGGUGAUAUGAACCGUUACAGCCGGCGAUGUCCGAAUGGGGAAACCCAGUGCAAUUCGUUGCACUAUCGUUAACUGAAUACAUAGGUUAACGAGGCGAACCGGGGGAACUGAAACAUCUAAGUACCCCGAGGAAAAGAAAUCAACCGAGAUUCCCCCAGUAGCGGCGAGCGAACGGGGAGCAGCCCAGAGUCUGAAUCAGCUUGUGUGUUAGUGGAACGGUCUGGAAAGUCCGACGGUACAGGGUGAUAGUCCCGUACACCAAAAUGCACAGGCUGUGAACUCGAAGAGUAGGGCGGGACACGUGGUAUCCUGUCUGAAUAUGGGGGGACCAUCCUCCAAGGCUAAAUACUCCUGACUGACCGAUAGUGAACCAGUACCGUGAGGGAAAGGCGAAAAGAACCCCGGCGAGGGGAGUGAAAAAGAACCUGAAACCGUGUACGUACAAGCAGUGGGAGCACCUUCGGGUGUGACUGCGUACCUUUUGUAUAAUGGGUCAGCGACUUAUAUUCUGUAGCAAGGUUAACCGUAUAGGGGAGCCGCAGGGAAACCGAGUCUUAACUGGGCGUUAAGUUGCAGGGUAUAGACCCGAAACCCGGUGAUCUAGCCAUGGGCAGGUUGAAGGUUGGGUAACACUAACUGGAGGACCGAACCGACUAAUGUUGAAAAAUUAGCGGAUGACUUGUGGCUGGGGGUGAAAGGCCAAUCAAACCGGGAGAUAGCUGGUUCUCCCCGAAAGCUAUUUAGGUAGCGCCUCGUGAACUCAUCUUCGGGGGUAGAGCACUGUUUCGGCUAGGGGGUCAUCCCGACUUACCAACCCGAUGCAAACUACGAAUACCGAAGAAUGUUAUCACGGGAGACACACGGCGGGUGCUAACGUCCGUCGUGAAGAGGGAAACAACCCAGACCGCCAGCUAAGGUCCCAAAGUCAUGGUUAAGUGGGAAACGAUGUGGGAAGGCACAGACAGCCAGGAUGUUGGCUUAGAAGCAGCCAUCAUUUAAAGAAAGCGUAAUAGCUCACUGGUCGAGUCGGCCUGCGCGGAAGAUGUAACGGGGCUAAACCAUGCACCGAAGCUGCGGCAGCGACACUAUGUGUUGUUGGGUAGGGGAGCGUUCUGUAAGCCUGCGAAGGUGUGCUGUGAGGCAUGCUGGAGGUAUCAGAAGUGCGAAUGCUGACAUAAGUAACGAUAAAGCGGGUGAAAAGCCCGCUCGCCGGAAGACCAAGGGUUCCUGUCCAACGUUAAUCGGGGCAGGGUGAGUCGACCCCUAAGGCGAGGCCGAAAGGCGUAGUCGAUGGGAAACAGGUUAAUAUUCCUGUACUUGGUGUUACUGCGAAGGGGGGACGGAGAAGGCUAUGUUAGCCGGGCGACGGUUGUCCCGGUUUAAGCAUGUAGGCUGGUUGUCCAGGCAAAUCCGGAUAAUCAAGGCUGAGGUGUGAUGACGAGGCACUACGGUGCUGAAGUAACAAAUGCCCUGCUUCCAGGAAAAGCCUCUAAGCAUCAGGUAACAUUAAAUCGUACCCCAAACCGACACAGGUGGUCAGGUAGAGAAUACCAAGGCGCUUGAGAGAACUCGGGUGAAGGAACUAGGCAAAAUGGUGCCGUAACUUCGGGAGAAGGCACGCUGGUGUGUAGGUGAAGUCCCUGCGGAUGGAGCUGAGACCAGUCGAAGAUACCAGCUGGCUGCAACUGUUUAUUAAAAACACAGCACUGUGCAAACACGAAAGUGGACGUAUACGGUGUGACGCCUGCCCGGUGCCGGAAGGUUAAUUGAUGGGGUUAUCCGUAAGGAGAAGCUCUUGAUCGAAGCCCCGGUAAACGGCGGCCGUAACUAUAACGGUCCUAAGGUAGCGAAAUUCCUUGUCGGGUAAGUUCCGACCUGCACGAAUGGCGUAAUGAUGGCCAGGCUGUCUCCACCCGAGACUCAGUGAAAUUGAACUCGCUGUGAAGAUGCAGUGUACCCGCGGCAAGACGGAAAGACCCCGUGAACCUUUACUAUAGCUUGACACUGAACAUUGAGCCUUGAUGUGUAGGAUAGGUGGGAGGCUUUGAAGCGUGGACGCCAGUCUGCGUGGAGCCAACCUUGAAAUACCACCCUUUAAUGUUUGAUGUUCUAACGUUGGCCCCUUAUCGGGGUUGCGGACAGUGUCUGGUGGGUAGUUUGACUGGGGCGGUCUCCUCCCAAAGCGUAACGGAGGAGCACGAAGGUUAGCUAAUCCUGGUCGGACAUCAGGAGGUUAGUGCAAUGGCAUAAGCUAGCUUGACUGCGAGCGUGACGGCGCGAGCAGGUGCGAAAGCAGGUCAUAGUGAUCCGGUGGUUCUGAAUGGAAGGGCCAUCGCUCAACGGAUAAAAGGUACUCCGGGGAUAACAGGCUGAUACCGCCCAAGAGUUCAUAUCGACGGCGGUGUUUGGCACCUCGAUGUCGGCUCAUCACAUCCUGGGGCUGAAGUAGGUCCCAAGGGUAUGGCUGUUCGCCAUUUAAAGUGGUACGCGAGCUGGGUUUAGAACGUCGUGAGACAGUUCGGUCCCUAUCUGCCGUGGGCGCUGGAGAAUUGAGGGGGGCUGCUCCUAGUACGAGAGGACCGGAGUGGACGCAUCACUGGUGUUCGGGUUGUCAUGCCAAUGGCACUGCCCGGUAGCUAAAUGCGGAAGAGAUAAGUGCUGAAAGCAUCUAAGCACGAAACUUGCCCCGAGAUGAGUUCUCCCUGAGACUUUAAGUCUCCUGAAGGAACGUUGAAGACGACGACGUUGAUAGGCCGGGUGUGUAAGCGCAGCGAUGCGUUGAGCUAACCGGUACUAAUGAACCGUGAGGCUUAACCUU
Molecule: ribosomal RNA, 2902 nt
Filed under: Klebsiella pneumoniae
Lineage: Bacteria; Pseudomonadati; Pseudomonadota; Gammaproteobacteria; Enterobacterales; Enterobacteriaceae
Description: 23S ribosomal RNA
Rfam family: Bacterial large subunit ribosomal RNA
Source: RNAcentral